GUGGAGCUGCUGAGACAUGAACCAGCGCCUAUAUGGGAUCUGGGUUCAUACUAAGUGAGAAUUUGAGCAGCUAGGCUGCCGCACUGGGCCUAACUCUGCUUUUUUUUUUUUUUUUUUUAAUAAAUAAAAAAGAAUUCCAGAGGCAGUCUCAAGGGUAUGAGAGAAAGCAGGCUGCAGCCAUGGAAGGCAAGUUGGAUGCUAUGUCUGAUCCAAGAGAAGGUGGUGGGGCCUCAGGCCAGCACUAUCUGUCAGAAUGGAGAAGAAGGUGCUCAGGAGCAGUCUGUAUUCCAUGUACUCAGGGAUCUAAGUUGACAGAGGCUCCAUCCCCCCCACGCACCUGGAACACUUGGCUUCCUGGGGUGAGAGAUAUGGGUGCUCUUCCACUUACGAAGAGAAAGGCUUUCUGGAAGAGUGUGUGGAUGACAGGGAUUGAGCACAAGUGACCCGGCGAUGGCCAGACUUGGUUUCGUUGAUUCAGCCAGCGGCAUCUCUGCAGCAACCUUGUGCACGUUAGCAGGUGCCACCCCAGGGUCACCAUGUGGGCUUGGUGAGACACACAGUCCUGACCCUGGCCUCCCCUUGCAGAUUCCUGAGGUCUCAGAAAUGUCUGUGAACCUAUGAGUGACUUCCAAGAGGGUUCCACUGCUGCCAAAGAACUUCAGCCUGUAUUGCCUUCAAAAGGAGUUCCUUUAUUUGAUGAAGAGUCCCAGGUGAAUGCAGUAGAUGCAGCUAGAGAUGGCUAUUUAUUUUGUUUUUAAGAUUUCAUU
Ochotona curzoniae (black-lipped pika) is the source of this 767-nucleotide long non-coding RNA. RefSeq lists it as uncharacterized. The transcript is spliced from 5 exons. NCBI's taxonomy places the organism in Eukaryota, Metazoa, Chordata, Mammalia, Lagomorpha, Ochotonidae. The record is from RefSeq and is a predicted model, not a curated record.